GUUUGAUCCUGGCUCAGAUUGAACGCUGGCGGCAUGCCUUACACAUGCAAGUCGAACGCGAAAGCGGGGCAACCCGCAAGUAGAGUGGCGAACGGGUGAGUAAUACAUCGGAACAUAUCCAGUAGCGGGGGAUAACCUGUCGAAAGAUAGGCUAAUACCGCAUACGAUCUACGGAUGAAAGCGGGGGACCGCAAGGCCUCGCACUAUUGGAGUGGCCGAUGUCGGAUUAGCUAGUUGGUGAGGUAAAGGCUUACCAAGGCGACGAUCCGUAGCUGGUCUGAGAGGACGAUCAGCCACACUGGAACUGAGACACGGUCCAGACUCCUACGGGAGGCAGCAGUGGGGAAUUUUGGACAAUGGGCGCAAGCCUGAUCCAGCCAUGCCGCGUGAGUGAAGAAGGCCUUCGGGUUGUAAAGCUCUUUCGGUGAAGACGAAACGGUUCGUGCCAAUAACACGGACUAAUGACGGUACUCACAGAAGAAGCACCGGCUAACUACGUGCCAGCAGCCGCGGUAAUACGUAGGGUGCAGGCGUUAAUCGGAAUUACUGGGCGUAAAGCGUGCGCAGGCGGUUUGCUAAGACAGGUGUGAAAUCCCCGAGCUUAACUUGGGAAUUGCGCUCGUAACUGGCAGGCUAGAGUGUGGCAGAGGGGGGUGGAAUUCCACGUGUAGCAGUGAAAUGCGUAGAUAUGUGGAGGAACACCGAUGGCGAAGGCAGCCCCCUGGGUCAACACUGACGCUCAUGCACGAAAGCGUGGGGAGCAAACAGGAUUAGAUACCCUGGUAGUCCACGCCCUAAACUAUGUCAACUAGUUGUCGGGGAAGAAAUUCCUUGGUAACGAAGCUAACGCGUGAAGUUGACCGCCUGGGGAGUACGGCCGCAAGGUUAAAACUCAAAGGAAUUGACGG
Molecule: ribosomal RNA, 908 nt
Filed under: uncultured bacterium
Lineage: Bacteria
Description: bacterial SSU rRNA
Rfam family: Bacterial small subunit ribosomal RNA
Source: RNAcentral